AUGCUGCAUGCGAGAUGCGGGAUGCUGGGCACUGGAGGCCCGGGACGCGGGUCCGAGAGCGCGGAAGGGGCGGGGCUGGGCAGCCUAAGAGGCCGCGCUCGCUCCGGACCGCCCUGCCCCAUGUUCCUCCCCGCGUCCCUCCGGCUCCUGGCGCUUCGUAGAGCCCAAAGGCUGAGAGGGGUUAGAGGCGCCGAUCACACCCUAGAAGUCGUUUAUGUCGAGCUGUGGAUGUUACAAGCGUUAUUUGGCCAGGACAGCGAGAUGCUGGCGGCCUUCUACGGGUGGUUCAGGGUCUCCCUCGUGGUCAGCGCAGUCCCAGGAUGCGGAGUCCUGGUCUUCAUCAUCGGAUCGCCCCUUUACCAGUAUGUGACCAAGUUCCUCAUCGUGGCAAUAUGUUUCCAGCUUCGGGUCCGCCGAAAUCGAGGUGAGGGGUUUCAGGAGCCCUGGCCAGGAAUGCUUCCUUCGGCCAGCAGUCUGGUGUUCUUUCCAGGUUAUGAUGGAGAAAAGAAAAUUUCUGGGAGUCCCCCCCCCGCCCCCCUACAACUCCCACUCUGGAUGGAGCUCUCCUUUCCUGCCUGGGUCCCUACCAGGAAGAGUGGGGAACUCCAAGGAGGGAGGUGCCUGUUGUGGGGGUGCUGCUGAGCAACCCAGGCAGAAGUGCUCGGCAAUGGAUGAACUCGCCCUAAUCCAGUCCUCAUCGAAGCUGGAAUCAAGAUUGCUGGGAGAAAUAUCAAUAACCUCAGAUAUGCAGAUGACACCACCCUUAUGGCAGAAAGUGAAGAGGAACUAAAGAGCUUCUUGAUGAAAGUGAAAGAGGAGAGAGAAGAAGUUGGCUUAAAACUUAACAUUCAAAAAACUAAGAUCAUGGCAUACAGUCCCAUCACUUCAUGGCAAAUAGAUAGGGAAACAGUGGAAACAAUGACAGACUUUAUUUUCCUGGGCUCCAAAAUCACUGCGGAUGGUGACUGUAGCCAUGAAAUUAAAAGACACUUGCUCCUUGGAAGAAAAGCUAUGACCAACCUAGAAGCAUAUUAAAAAGCAGAGACAUUACCUUGUCAACAAAUGUCCAUCUAGUCAAAGCUAUGGUUUUUCCAGUAGUCAUGUGUGUAUGUGAUAGAUGGACUAUAAAGAAAGCUGAGCACCGAAGAAUUGAUGCUUUUGAACUGUGGUGUUGGAGAAGACUCUUGAGAGUCCCUUGGACAGCAAGGAGGUCAAACCAGUCAAUCCUAAAGGAAAUCAGUCCUGACUCUUCACUGGAAGGACUGAUGCUGAAGCUGAAACUCCAAUACUUUGGCCACCUGAUGUGAAGAACUGACUCAUUAGAAAAAAGACCCUGAUGCUGGGAAUGACUGAAGGCAGGAGAAGGGGCUGAGAGAGGAUAAGAUGGUUGGAUGGCAUCACCAACUCAAUGGACAUGAGUUGAAUAAGCUCUGGGAGUUGGUGAUGGACAGGGAGGCCUGGCAUGCUGCAGUCUAUGGGGUCACAAAGAGUCUGACAUGAUUGAGCAACUGAACUGAAUAUCCAAUCUUAUGUUCUGCUUACACUUCAUCAGAUACCAUCAUCAUCUCAUCUGUUGCAUCCUCUCUAGGUUCCUCCCGGCACAAGCUGGCUGGUUUCUGUAGCAACUUAACAGGUAGCACAUGCCCAACCAGGCUGUGAUUAGUUAUUGGCUUACGGCCUGUGGGGCAGAUCCUGGGAACUUUGAGGGAGGCACAUGUUAUCUCUGUAUUGUCCUCAAGUAAGUGGAAGAUGUUGGAAGAUGUUACCUUUUAAUAAGGAUGGAGGGCUGGGCCAUUCCUGCAGGCUUGGAGGAACUGAGAACACAAAGAUUUUCCAGGGCAUCAACCCAGACAUCAGAUCCCGUGGGUUUUCAACCUUGGCAGAACCAUCCUUCUUGCAGUGGAAGCUCCACCCUGGAGCUCAGCUGCUCUCUGUGGUUGAAAGCCUGGUCUCAGCUUUCUCUGCUCUCCUGCCACAUGUGAGAACCUCUUUUCUAGCAGUGAGGCUUCUGGCACUCACACUUGCCUAUAAUUGUGUUAACUGCAUUCAGCCUUUCAUUGGUUUCCUAGAGUAUAAAGUGCUCUCAAAGUGGAAGGGGGCAGGGAUGCCGUAGGUGGGGGCAGGCCCGUAGCGGGCAGCUGUCUUCAGCUGAGGUCCAGCUGUGGUGCUGGCAGGCGGAGGAGGGCUUUCUGUCUCAUGCUUUACCCUCAACAGGGAUUCACUCUUUUUUUUCUUUCUGGUUGCACCCCACAGCAUGCAGGAUCUUAGCUGCCUGGCCAGGGAUCGAAGCCCACACCCCUUGGAUUGGCAGCAUGCAGUCUUAACUACUGGACCGCUAGGGAAGUCCAGACUGGGGUUCAUUCUGGAAGGAUGGUUGAGUUGACACAUUUCAUAACUAAGCACCCAUCUGGAGUUUCUUCCUUCAUCCGGACAAAGAUGGGCCUGAUAACCUGGCUCUAGCAGAGCCUAGAGAGUGAAAGUGAAAGUGAAGUCGCUCAGUCGUGUCUGACUCUUCGAGACCCCAUGGACUGCAGCCUACCAGGCUCCUCUGUUCAUGGGAUUUUCCAGGCAAGAGUACUGGAGUGGGUUGCCAUUGCCUUCUCCAAUGGCAGAGCCUAGAGAAGUGACUGUCUAUUUCAAGUGCAAAUGAGGGAAGGUGUCUUCAUCAUCCAGCUCUCUUCCCAGUCCUACAUUGAAUUUCUGUGUUGCCCAUGGAAAGAUAUUCUUGACAGCAGAGGUGAGAGAGCUGUGUGGGUUAUUACCUAGUCAUCACCAACGUAAUUUCAUGUCACCUAUUCAAAGGACUUUUGGGGACAUCCCUUUUGAUAUAUUUCUGUCAGAGUUCUAAGUUUUUCCUUUGUUGAAUAAAAAACAAACAUUAAUUCA
Molecule: long non-coding RNA, 2886 nt
Filed under: Bos indicus x Bos taurus (hybrid cattle)
Lineage: Eukaryota; Metazoa; Chordata; Mammalia; Artiodactyla; Bovidae
Description: lncRNA (ENSBIXG00005015701.1)
Source: RNAcentral